This is a long non-coding RNA of Dalotia coriaria, 146 nucleotides long. RefSeq lists it as uncharacterized. Lineage: Eukaryota; Metazoa; Arthropoda; Insecta; Coleoptera; Staphylinidae. The record is from RefSeq and is a predicted model, not a curated record. The transcript has 2 exons.
GACUUUUUCGAACGCGCUGCAAGCUGUUCAGGGCUUUAUUAACGAUAUUACAUUUAUUGCAAGGUUUCCGCAUAUAUUGGCCGUAGAAUGACUGUAGCAUCUUUUUUAUCAUGAAAAUAUGAAUAAAAAAUUUAAAACGAUAAUAA